CAUAACUGAUGGUUUUGCCUUUGUUGACUUGUAUAUCCGGUGUCAAUGAUUCAUUGUGUUUGUUUGUUUAUCUAGAAGCUAAUUUGAGUGAUUGGGAUUGCUUUCCUUUUGCGAGUUAUUAGCCUUUUGGUUUUUAUAUUUGAAUAUAUGUUGAAUUAAUCAUUGAAAUAAAAUUCUUAUGAAGUAAUAAACCUUAGAAUUAUUAUUUUUAAUUAGUUUUUUGGUGAAAGUUUAAUGCCCUAAACCUCUCUAUUAUAUUUAUAGAUUUUAUUUAUAGAAGUCAAUGUUUAGGUGAGAAGCAAUAAGGCUUUAUGAUGCUGGACAACCGGCGAGAAUAGAACAACUAAAAGAAAAUAAAAGAAAGGCCAUACAAAAUAAAAGAAGGAAAAAGAUUGAGAUCUACAAUUUACCCACAAUGAUAUGGCAAGUUAUGUGCCAAUUUUUUGUUUGUCACAAACUCAAUCAUGCAAGGCCCAAUCUCAUUGCCAUAUCAUUGUGGGACUUAAAUUGUGGGUCUUUAGCAUUUCUCAUAAAAGAAACUCUAAUUCUCUAUUCUCAAUAUCUCAAAAUUUAAUUCAAUAUCAUAGUCUAUGAAACUAUUACAUAAAAGACCUAUUUAUAGGCAUCCAAAAAAAUUCUAUUUGAUAGUAACCAAAAAGAAAACUAUCAUAAUUAGAGUAAUAAAACAAUAAAACCUAUUAAAUUAUAAAUAAGAAGAUAUCAUCAAAAUAAAUCUUUAAUCUUCGUCCAAUCUCUUCUUGUUCCCCAUCACCGUGUUAAUCAAAUAGGCAAUGGUUAUGGAGUACUCUUUGUUAAUUAAAACUAUUCAACCCUCUUAAAUUUUUUGCAAUUUUGCAAGUCUUAGCAAUCCUAAUGCUGUCUGAUUACAUCCCAGGACAUAAGAUUGCUGUACUGGAACAAGCAUUCAACCGAAAUCUAUUGGGAUCAUUUCUUCUGAUUCAAUUCCAAGCUUGUGUUGGCAUCUCCAGAACUGCUACAGAUGCAGAUUAUGCUGCAAUUUUAUGAGUUAUUGGCCAUGAGUAUUUUCUUGUGUAUAUUGUAGAACUUCAGAAACACACUGAUGAGGUUGCUACCUAAGUUAUAGCGAGAGCUGAAGAACAAGGGCAAUUGAUUGAUUCACUUCACAGCUCUGUAAGUAUUCCUUAAGGAUUAGACUUGCACACAAGCACUGCUUGGGCUUAUAUCGUUUCUAAUGCCAUGUGAUAUUUUUUUUUCUUUUUUUUUUUAUAUUUAAACAAUAGUUUUCUUUUAUUUUGGUUUUUUGACUUUAAAAUAUUUGGCCAUGCACUGAAGAUUUUCAUUUUGGAUUUGUUGAUUCUAUGCAUAUGUCAUAUCUAUAUGGUAAUCCAAACAUUUUAUACUAGUAACAGUCAAAGUGGUUUUUUUAUUUUAUUUUAUUUUAUUUUUCUAUUGAUGCGGGAGAUAAAGAGUCAGUGUGAUAAGAAAAUGUCCGACUUUAUUUUUUUUAAGACUAGAACAGUCGCUACAAAUAGUAAGUUUAUUCAUAUGUUUCUAGUGAUUUCUGAAUAAAUUUGUGUUUUAUUUUUCGGGUUAGUAAUUUCUAGGGAGAGAUGCAAAAUAUGGUCAAAGAAUUCAAGAACUUAGUUUUUUUUUAAAAUUUUUUCUUUUUUUAAAAUAUGUAAUCAUCGUUAAAACUUUUUAUUAAUUCAUUUGUAUAUACUUUUGAAUAUUUAACUUUCAUUUAUGAAAUAUAUGGCGUUAUUCCAUUAAAUAUGUGGUUGUCAUUCAAAAUAUAGUAUAUAGUGUGUGUUACAUUUUUUAAAUGUGCAUACAAAAGUGUGAUCUUAUCUCAUUAUUAAUUACAGGUUUUAUUAGAUAUUAUCACACUUAAAAUAUGUGGUCUAAAUGUUUAUUAUCACAGGUUUUAUUAGCUAUUAAUCACACUUAAAAGGUGUGAUCUAAAUGUUUAUUAUCACAGGUUUUAUUAGUUA
Non-coding RNA from Camellia sinensis, 1973 nucleotides. Lineage: Eukaryota; Viridiplantae; Streptophyta; Magnoliopsida; Ericales; Theaceae. The record is from RefSeq and is a predicted model, not a curated record.